GCUUGAGUAUCCAGUAGAGAAUAGAUUUUUUAUAUUAUGAUGCAUGCAUGAAGUUGGGAUCAUCAUAAGCACAGACAGAAGCAAGUGUUUGAUUAUUUAAUAAUAGGAUCGAUGUAGACAUCUGCAACACAUAUCUGAUAAGAAAGCCGAAGACACAUUCUUGAAGAUCCUUUAAAACUAGUGAGGGACUAUAGUUUUACUGUCGAAGUCCUUUUUGCUAUGGGUCA
This 227-nucleotide unclassified non-coding RNA is filed under the name Hevea brasiliensis (rubber tree). The record is from RNAcentral. Lineage: Eukaryota; Viridiplantae; Streptophyta; Magnoliopsida; Malpighiales; Euphorbiaceae.